Molecule: long non-coding RNA, 1870 nt
Organism: Ipomoea triloba (trilobed morning glory)
Lineage: Eukaryota; Viridiplantae; Streptophyta; Magnoliopsida; Solanales; Convolvulaceae
Exons: 4
Source: RefSeq, a predicted model, not a curated record
UCUAAUCUCCCGUCAUCUUCAUCGCAUUUCUGCCCUAACUCUUACAACCUUACACCUAAAACCUCAAUCUCUCUUUCUUAACAACAAAAUUGCUCAUAAUCAGCUAUAAAUUCCACCGUUUGAACACCAAAAAUGGAUUCCACAAUAUAUCUGCGAACCCUUGUAUCUUUACCGUCUUCGAUUUCCAGAUAUCAUAGACGAAGGCUUUUGAGCAAAGAUUCUGUAUUAUAAGCUUGAUCACAGGGUGGAAUAUGAUCCAAGCUAAGUGUUAAAAGCCAGUACAAGCAAGGCUUGUGAUUCAUCCACUGACUGCUCCUAUACCCGGAAAUGACCAUAAUGAGAGUUUCGCACGCAGCUUUCAAAGUUCGGAAAUUCGGGUGGUGCAGUACGUGGUGACUUAGACAGUACAAAAUAACAUCAUAUAUGCAACAUAUCCCUCCCUAACAAAUCAACUAACAACCCAUCCAACAUUUAUUUAUUUAUUAUUUUCCAAAAUCCCAAACAUUCAAAGCCCUGCAACCUUGCUAAGAUUUGAAGGUAAAGCUUUGUGGGUUUUGCCCUGUGAUGCCAUUGGUGUUACAGUUAAUCUUGGUCGUUGCAGCUUGAUCAAAGCAGAUUCUGACCUCGGUAAGAUAGGCCCCUACGCACUGAAUUUUGACAUCCACAUUCAAAGCUUGGCGGAUUGUGUUAAGAAAUUGGGUAUCACCGUACUGUGAUUUUGAUCAAAGAGGCUAAACGAAAUCCUGCCAGUACGGUGAUUCCCAGUUUCUUAACACAAUCCGCCAAGCUUUAGACGUGGAUGUCAAAAUUCAGUGCGUAGGGGCCUAUCUCACCUAGGUCAGAAUCUGCUUUGAUCAAGCUGCAACAGCCAAGAUUAAUUGUAACACCAAUGGCAUCACAGGACAAUGCCCAAAAAGCUUUACCUUCAAAUCUUAUAGCCAGCUUGAAGGGCUUUGAAUUUUUGAGAUUUUGGAAAAUAAUAAAUAAAUGUUGGAUGGCUUACUAGUUGAUUUGUUAGGGAGGAUAUGCUGCAUAUAUGAUGUUAUUUUGUCUAUCCGAUCGUGUUUCCAGAAACCAUUAGGCCAAUCUGCAGAUUGAAGAGCAGAGAAUUCCGUGGAAACUGCAACAUAUAUAUUAUAUUGAAGAGCACUGAGCUUUGCUAUGGAGUUGGAAAACGGCCAUAGGCCAUGGAUGGUGAAAUCAGAUUUCACCUUACUCACUAUGCAAUUGGCACCAAUUGAAGCACAAUAGCCCAGGGGCCAUGUUAGAUUGUUAGUGCCAAAAUGAAGCCAUCCCAUGUAACUCUUGGUUACCAGUAAACAAAAAAUAAGUAAACUUAAAGUAAUUUUCAUUGUGUGUAUGCCUUUGAAUUUGCAGAGCAGAUGUGAUGUGUAGUGCUGUAUGUGUUUAAUUCUCACCAAGGUACUAUGUGUGUGUUUAUAUAGGCUAAGCCACUGCCUUGUCAUUUUCUUAAUUGCUAUUUUUUUCAUAUGAAAUGAAGAACUUGGUUGUUUUACUCCAUUAUAAUGUCAUUCUACUUUAAGUAGCUCAAACAGAAUUUGUUUUAGGUCAUUGUCAUUGUACUGCAUUUGUUUGCAUUCACAUUUGCUUUGCUGGAUCACAGGGUGGAAUAUGAAGUGCUUGAAGUAUACACUGAUCCUAUACUCAGCUUGGAAAUGAAAUGACCAAAGGGCAGGCAAUAGUUUGUGGAUCUCUUAACUUCAUCUUAUUGUCAUUGUAAUAAUACAAUCCCACGGCCGUUCUAUUUAGUUAUAUUAUGAUCUUCCAGUCUGGAGUUUAAUAUUAUUGUACGUGUAAACAUGUCAGGUGACCUUUUUAUCAUGUCAAUAUAAGUUAAAAUUUGUGCACA